This is a long non-coding RNA of Pomacea canaliculata, 342 nucleotides long. RefSeq lists it as uncharacterized. The record is from RefSeq and is a predicted model, not a curated record. The transcript is spliced from 3 exons. Lineage: Eukaryota; Metazoa; Mollusca; Gastropoda; Architaenioglossa; Ampullariidae.
GCUUGCCUUGUCCUCGGAUAUCCUGCCACUAACAGCAUUCUUACAAAGACCAUCUCCGGGUUGGACAUACAGGUGCAUUGGACUACUGGUACUCUCACAAGGGUUAUGUUGACUAUCUACAUCCAUCACCCCUUUAUUUAGUAUUGUUUGGAAGUGCUUUACCCACCCUCUUCACUGAUUUGGUCCACUACAGGCUGUCUUCUGUAUCUCCUCAUCACUUCCCAGAACCCCUUUGGUGGAUACAAUGCUGCGAUUCUUUAUAUUUCUACUCUCACUCUCUCCUUUCGUGUUGACGGAGGAGACGAGCAAGUAAGGUGUUGACUGUUCUUGGCUCUUGGCUUA